Long non-coding RNA from Amphimedon queenslandica, 386 nucleotides. RefSeq lists it as uncharacterized. The transcript has 4 exons. The record is from RefSeq and is a predicted model, not a curated record. NCBI's taxonomy places the organism in Eukaryota, Metazoa, Porifera, Demospongiae, Haplosclerida, Niphatidae.
UUUAGUUCCUAAAGUAUAUUAUGCUCAGUUUGGUGCUCAGCAGUAUUUAACUAACACAGCCAUUAAUACUGUUUUUUCUACAUCAAGCUCAUCAAUCCUUCCUAUAUAUGCUGCACGGUUUGCUUUGAAUGGAACAUUUUUAGAUUUAAGCCUCAUCAACGAUACCAUCAUAUAUGUUGUGUAAAGAUCGUUGUUCAAAGAUGACUACCACUUGGCAAGUUGGUGUUCAUUAUGAAAUACAGUGUUCUCUUGACCCCAUUGCUCUUAUGACUGAUGGCUCUAGCCCUAUAUUCUAUGAUAUAUAUAUCAAAGAUGGUAAUAUGUUAGUGCCCAUUCCAGUCUUACUUAGUGGCUAUAGGGACAAUAAUGGUGUCCUUGUUAAUGAA